RNAcentral lists this ribosomal RNA (251 nucleotides) under Oospira vanbuensis. RNAcentral's name for it is "partial 16S ribosomal RNA". Lineage: Eukaryota; Metazoa; Mollusca; Gastropoda; Stylommatophora; Clausiliidae. The record is from RNAcentral.
UUACUGUCUCUUUCUUAUUUACUUUAACUUUUUUUAAGAAGUGAAAAGACUUCUAAUUUUAAUAACAGACGAGAAGACCCUUAGAGUUUUUAUAAAAGAAAAAAAAAUUUCUAAAUUUUUGUUGGGGCAACAAAUCUAAUCAAAAAGAUUAAUACAAAUAUAACAAGUCGAAGAUAUUUUUAGAAUGGUAAAACUACCUUAGGGAUAACAGCAUAAUUUUUUUUAAGUUUGUGACCUCGAUGUUGGACUAG